Pelobates cultripes (western spadefoot toad) is the source of this 1202-nucleotide non-coding RNA. The record is from the annotation of a GenBank genome assembly. Lineage: Eukaryota; Metazoa; Chordata; Amphibia; Anura; Pelobatidae.
GUGAUGGAGUGUUCAAAGGAAGUUCUUUCCUUUCAGGUUUGUAUUAGCUUAAAUGAUAAAGGGAAAUAAACUAAUCAUAUCACAAUAUGUGAACCAUCUUUUAAUCUAAAGAGAAAAUUAAAAUGAUGUAUUUUUUCUACUUGUUGUGGAAAAUGCCCUGUGUCUGGUGGUUUUCAAAUCAUUAACUUUCUCAUUGAACAGUUAUGAUGAUUUUAGUUUCACUGCAAUAGCCAUUAAAGUGCACGCUCACCUGCCAGGUUAUCAUACUCUAUUGGCCAUUGCAGUGGCCAUUAAAAAAUCUCUGUCAAAAUGUUCUCUGUCACUAUACCGUAAAUUUUGAAUAUUUCAUAAACAUAUACUGUAAUCUUUAUGAAAUAAACACAUUGACUAUUCUGGAAUUUUGUAGAAAUUCCAACGCAGUAACAGGAUAUCAUAAGUCAAAGUAGGGAAUGACAGUGAUGAAACUUGACAAACGGUGGAUGUUCGCAAUCAAAUUUUGUCAUUUCAUACAGCUUUUUCUUUUUCAACAAUUAUGAUGUGGUCUACCAGAUCCAUCAAGUUUUCAGGGACACAUAUCACACACAUAUUGAAGGGCAGCAUAUGAAAAGGGUUUCCCUGUAGGAAUUUAGAAAAAGGCGUAUUAGAUUAAGUAAUUAGAUAAUGGAGAAUCCUGCAGGAUAUUAUUAUUUAUAUAGCGCCAUCAGAUUCCGUAGCGCUGUACAAUGGGUGGACUAACAGACAACUGGACGUACAGGAACAGAGAGGUUGGAGGGCCCUGCUCAAUGAGCCAGUAUAGAGGGUAUGCAUUAUACAUAUUGUAAGGUGACUCUUUUUUUAUGCAUUUUCAUAAAUAGGACAAAAUGAUGUGUCCCUGAAAAAAUGAUGGACCUGGUUACCCUAUCUAUGGAGGAUCUAGACAGGAUAUAGAAGAGUAAAGAACUGACCUGGCAGAUGAAACUCUAGGAGCCGAAGAAAGAAGAUCCAAGGAAAAGCAUCGGGAAAGCAUUGCAUGUUGAGAAAGUGCCAAGACAGGCACAGAACACAUCCAGGACCUCUUUCAAGGUUUGCUGGGACCCUCUCCAGUCUCUCUUUCCCCCCCUUCCUAGUAGAUUUUGCAAUCUCCAGCUGCCUUUAACUUUCUCUGCUUCCCCCUUUUUUCCUUUUGGAUGCAAUGUGUUUCAUUUUCACCUAUUUGAGUGUGC